CUACGGAGGGUCCGAGCGUUAAUCGGAAUUACUGGGCGUAGAGCGUACGUAGGUGGCUUGAUUAGUCGGAUGUGAAAGCCCUGGGCUCAACCUGGGAACUGCAUUCGAUACUGUCAGGCUAGAGUAUAUUAGAGGGAAGUGGAAUUCCGGGUGUAGCGGUGAAAUGCGUAGAUAUCCGGAGGAACACCAGUGGCGAAGGCGGCUUUCUGGACUAAAACUGACACUGAGGCUCGAAAGCGUGGGGAGCAAACAGGAUUAGAAACCCUAGUAGUCC
RNAcentral lists this ribosomal RNA (274 nucleotides) under uncultured bacterium. RNAcentral describes it as "partial 16S ribosomal RNA". It matches the Rfam family "Bacterial small subunit ribosomal RNA", at positions 523 to 796 of the family's 1533-position model. The record is from RNAcentral.